AGGACGAACGCUGGCGGCGUGCUUAACACAUGCAAGUCGAGCGAGCCCCACCUUUCGGGGUGGUGUGCUAGCGGCGAACGGGUGAGUAACACGUGGGCAACCUGCCCUCAGCUCUGGGAUAACUCCAAGAAAUUGGGGCUAAUACCGGAUAUGACUGCUGACCGCAUGGUCUGGUGGUGGAAAGAUUUAUCGGCUGGGGGAUGGGCCCGCGGCCUAUCAGCUUGUUGGUGGGGUAGUGGCCUACCAAGGCGACGACGGGUAGCCGGCCUGAGAGGGUGACCGGCCACACUGGGACUGAGACACGGCCCAGACUCCUACGGGAGGCAGCAGUGGGGAAUAUUGCGCAAUGGGCGGAAGCCUGACGCAGCGACGCCGCGUGGGAUGACGGCCUUCGGGUGUAAACCUCUUCAGCAGGACGAAGCGAGAGUGACGGUACCUGCAGAAGAAGCGACCGCAACUACGUGCCAGCAGCCGCGGUAAUCGUGAGCGGCGUGGACG
Molecule: ribosomal RNA, 498 nt
Filed under: uncultured soil bacterium
Lineage: Bacteria
Description: bacterial SSU rRNA
Rfam family: Bacterial small subunit ribosomal RNA
Source: RNAcentral